This 497-nucleotide ribosomal RNA is filed under the name uncultured bacterium. RNAcentral's name for it is "partial 16S ribosomal RNA". It matches the Rfam family "Bacterial small subunit ribosomal RNA", at positions 28 to 507 of the family's 1533-position model. The record is from RNAcentral.
GAUGAACGCUGGCGGCGUGCCUAAUACAUGCAAGUCGAGCGAACAGAUGAGGAGCUUGCUCCUCUGACGUUAGCGGCGGACGGGUGAGUAACACGUGGAUAACCUACCUAUAAGACUGGGAUAACUUCGGGAAACCGGAGCUAAUACCGGAUAAUAUAUUGAACCGCAUGGUUCAAUAGUGAAAGACGGUUUUGCUGUCACUUAUAGAUGGAUCCGCGCCGCAUUAGCUAGUUGGUAAGGUAACGGCUUACCAAGGCAACGAUGCGUAGCCGACCUGAGAGGGUGAUCGGCCACACUGGAACGGAGACACGGUCCAGACUCCUACGGGAGGCAGCAGUAGGGAAUCUUCCGCAAUGGUCGAAAGCCUGACGGAGCAACGCCGCGUGAGUGAUGAAGGUCUUCGGAUCGUAAAACUCUGUUAUUAGGGAAGAACAAAUGUGUAAGUAACUAUGCACGUCUUGACGGUACCUAAUCAGAAAGCCACGGCUAACUACGUG